AGAGAGUUAAUAAGGUUAGGUGAAAAAAUCAUCAAAUUUGGAGUUGAAAUAAAAAAGUUAUGAAGGUUUGAAGUUGGGAGAUUUUUGUUGAGGUUGCUGCUGUUGUGCUCUAGAGGUUGUUGCUACUGUUCUGGAAUACUGUUCUGGAAUACUGUGCUAUUUCCAUCUAGUUGCACUUGUUUUCAUCUAAUAUCAUUUUUUCUAUCCAAUUAGGCCUAUUUUCAUCCAAUGGUGCUAUUUUCAUCCAAGUACUUAUUCUAUCCAUCUUUUUUUCAUCUAGCUACUUCCAUUUUGCUAAUUCUAUCUAAUUCUUUUUUUUUUAUCAUUAUUUUUUUUAUCACUUCUUAUAAGUUCAAGUAAAUGAUAACCAUUGCUUAGAAGGCAUUAUCUAGAAAGUUGAAUUUAUAAUCUUUUGAUUAAUUAACCAACCAUUAAAUUAAUCACAUAAUUAGUGCCUACUAACUUUCUAAACUUGUUGUAUAGUUAUUUUUCCUCUAAAAAAACAUAAAGAGGAUUUUUAGCUCAUAAUUAUCUAUUUUUUAUUUUUUUACAAAUAAAAUUAUAUGAUAUUAAAUAUUACAAAGCUACUAUGACCAUUAGUUGUUACUUUUAUAGGAAGGAUUUCAUGAAUAGCAUUUUUUGAAGAUAAUAGAUGACCAACUAUGACUUUUAUGUAAAUAUAUUUAGUUUUCUUUAAUAAAGGUAUGUUAUAUCUUUUAAUAAAUUCUUCAUCUAAGAAAUGCAUUGAGGCUCUUUCAUCUAAUAAGGCAGAGGCUUUGUGAUGUUUAGGUCCUAAAAUAACAUUUAUUGUAAAAUAAGGAGAGGAUUAUGAAGAGAGAAUAUGACCUCUAAUAGGUAUUGUAUAAAAUUCGAGCUACAUGGUUCUUAUUGUAGCUAGACAAACUUAUUUUUUGACAUAUUAUUUUCUUUAAUGGCCGUAUUCUUCAUUUUGUUGUUGCAUCGCUUCUUUAAAUAAUAUUGAGCAAUGUGUUUUACUUCUCCAUAAUACAAGCACAAUCUUUUUUGAUGACAAUAAGUCUUUUCUUACUUACUAAGAAAUUUGAAAUUUACUCCAUUAAUUUAUAUAUCCUCUACUUAUAAAUGUAUGUGUUGAAAAG
Molecule: long non-coding RNA, 1118 nt
Filed under: Physcomitrium patens
Lineage: Eukaryota; Viridiplantae; Streptophyta; Bryopsida; Funariales; Funariaceae
Description: long non-coding RNA (PPAT_LNC010139)
Source: RNAcentral